Molecule: long non-coding RNA, 232 nt
Organism: Anguilla anguilla (European eel)
Lineage: Eukaryota; Metazoa; Chordata; Actinopteri; Anguilliformes; Anguillidae
Exons: 3
Source: RefSeq, a predicted model, not a curated record
UAAAAGGAGCGGACAGGUGUAGUUAUCUUUGUGAAAGUGUCACUGCUCUGGGGCCCCAAAGCGGGUACUGUGAGGUGCCCCUGCUUGGCUCUUUUGUGCAGAGGAGUAGCGGGCGCGGCUGUGGGUGAAGAUGCCUAAUUUCAGGCGAGAGCCACCCUGACCACAGACAGUUAAAGCGCUGCUCACUUCCUGCAGCCUGUUCUAUUCUUUAUUUAAUUCCACAUCUCAGUUC